Molecule: ribosomal RNA, 480 nt
Filed under: uncultured bacterium
Lineage: Bacteria
Description: partial 16S ribosomal RNA
Rfam family: Bacterial small subunit ribosomal RNA
Source: RNAcentral
GACGAACGCUGGCGGCGUGCCUAACACAUGCAAGUCGAGCGAGGGGAGUUUCUUCGGAAACAAACCUAGCGGCGGACGGGUGAGUAACACGUGGGCAACCUGCCUUAUAGUGGGGAAUAGCCUCUCGAAAGGGAGAUUAAUACCGCAUAACAUUACACUUUCGCAUGAGAGAGUAAUUAAAGGAGCAAUCCGCUAUAAGAUGGGCCCGCGGCGCAUUAGCUAGUUGGUGAGGUAACGGCUCACGAAGGCGACGAUGCGUAGCCGACCUGAGAGGGUGAUCGGCCACAUUGGGACUGAGACACGGCCCAGACUCCUACGGGAGGCAGCAGUGGGGAAUAUUGCACAAUGGGGGAAACCCUGAUGCAGCAACGCCGCGUGAGUGAUGAAGGUCUUCGGAUCGUAAAGCUCUGUCUUCAGGGACGAUAAUGACGGUACCUGAGGAGGAAGCCACGGCUAACUACGUGCCAGCCGCCGCAGUAA